Molecule: long non-coding RNA, 293 nt
Organism: Hyaena hyaena (striped hyena)
Lineage: Eukaryota; Metazoa; Chordata; Mammalia; Carnivora; Hyaenidae
Exons: 3
Source: RefSeq, a predicted model, not a curated record
UUUCCAUCCAGCCCUCUGAAUCUCUGCCUGACUUCCAAGGUCACACUGUUGAUCACUGCUAUCCGAUUGGGUUUGUAUAUGUGAGAAGGAAUUAAGGCUUUGAGGAUCAUUUGAGAUCAAGUAUAAAACACUGGAAGUGUAUGUGUGCACUAAGAAAGAAGAAAUUCUUCCCAAAACAUGAGCACCAUAUGACCAGAUCCUUGGAGAUACAAAAGCAAAGAGCCUCUAGCCUAGAAAGGCAACAGCAAUUUCACAGAGCUAAAACCAAAACUUGUGAACAGAAGAUCACGAAA